GGACUACCGGGGUAUCUAAUCCCUUUUGCUCCCCUAGCUGUCGUACCUCAGCGUCAGUGCUACCCUAGGAACCUGUUUUCACCCUUGGCAUUCCUCUCUAUAUCUACGGAUUUCACCCCUCCAUAGAGAAUUCUAGUUCCCUCGAAUAGACUCAAGAGAUGUCGUAUGACGAACAUUCCCACAGUUGAGCUGUGGUCUUAAACUCGCCACGCACAUCCCCGCCUACGUCACGCUUUACGCCCAGUAAAUCCGGAUAACGCUUGCACCCUACGUAUUACCGCGGCUGCUGGCAC
RNAcentral lists this ribosomal RNA (293 nucleotides) under uncultured bacterium. RNAcentral describes it as "partial 16S ribosomal RNA". The record is from RNAcentral.